This 265-nucleotide ribosomal RNA is filed under the name Icterica seriata. RNAcentral's name for it is "partial 18S rRNA". It matches the Rfam family "Eukaryotic small subunit ribosomal RNA", at positions 1235 to 1433 of the family's 1831-position model. The record is from RNAcentral. Lineage: Eukaryota; Metazoa; Arthropoda; Insecta; Diptera; Tephritidae.
CGUGUAAGACAGAUUGAUAGCUCUUUCUCGAAUCUAUGGGUGGUGGUGCAUGGCCGUUCUUAGUUCGUGGAGUGAUUUGUCUGGUUAAUUCCGAUAACGAACGAGACUCAAAUAUAUUAAAUAGAUGCUUUCAGGAUUAUAAUGUUGAAGCUUAUUAUAGCCUUCAUUCAUGAUUGCACAAAUUGUGUAUGAAUGUUUGAAUGUGUUUAUAUAAGUGGAGUUAUACCUGUUGGUUUGUCCCAUUAUAAGGACACUAGCUUUUAAA